CAACAAUCAAUAUGAAACUGGUGAUUUUUAUGUGGUUCCAGUUUCGUACGUUAUGAACGAUCUUCGGUACCCAGUAAUGAAAUCGUCGCUUCGCAACAUGAAGAAAUUGAAGAAAAAAAACUUGGAAUUUUCUGCAGAG
This is a long non-coding RNA of Armigeres subalbatus, 139 nucleotides long. RefSeq lists it as uncharacterized. NCBI's taxonomy places the organism in Eukaryota, Metazoa, Arthropoda, Insecta, Diptera, Culicidae. The transcript has 2 exons. The record is from RefSeq and is a predicted model, not a curated record.